CCCUUAGAUGUUCUGGGCUGCACGCGCGCUACACUGAUACUUUCAGCGAGUCCACCACCUUGCCUGAGAGGGUGGGGUAACCUCUGGAAAGUGUAUCGUGAUGGGGAUCGAUUAUUGUAAUUAUUAAUCUUCAACGAGGAAUUCCUAGUAAGCAUGUGUCAUCAGCCCGUGCUGAUUACGUCCCUGCCCUUUGUACACACCGCCCGUCGCUACUACUGAUUGGGUGUUCAAGUGAGAUGCUUAGACCCUUGUUGCAUGGUUCAUUAUUGUGCUCCGAAAGGAAAAAGUUUCAAGCUUGAGUGUCUAGAGGAAGUAAAAGUCGUAACA
RNAcentral lists this ribosomal RNA (327 nucleotides) under uncultured eukaryote. Its description in RNAcentral is "partial 18S ribosomal RNA". It matches the Rfam family "Eukaryotic small subunit ribosomal RNA", at positions 1470 to 1796 of the family's 1831-position model. The record is from RNAcentral.